UGGGGAAUAUCGCUCAAUGGGCGGAAGCCUGAAGCAGCGACGCCGCGUGAGGGAUGACGGCCUUCGGGUUGUAAACCUCUUUCAGCCCCGACGAAGCGCAAGUGACGGUAGGGGCAGAAGAAGCGCCGGCCAACUACGUGCCAGCAGCCGCGGUAAUACGUAGGGCGCAAGCGUUGUCCGGAAUUAUUGGGCGUAAAGAGCUCGUAGGCGGCUUGUCGCGUCGACUGUGAAAGCCCGGGGCUUAACUCCGGGUCUGCAGUCGAUACGGGCAGGCUAGAGUGCGGUAGGGGAGACUGGAAUUCCUGGUGUAGCGGUGAAAUGCGCAGAUAUCAGGAGGAACACCGGUGGCGAAGGCGGGUCUCUGGGCCGUUACUGACGCUGAGGAGCGAAAGCGUGGGGAGCGAACAG
This 408-nucleotide ribosomal RNA is filed under the name uncultured bacterium. RNAcentral describes it as "bacterial SSU rRNA". It matches the Rfam family "Bacterial small subunit ribosomal RNA", at positions 355 to 775 of the family's 1533-position model. The record is from RNAcentral.